GAUCCAUGGCUCAGGAUGAACGCUAGCUACAGGCUUAACACAUGCAAGUCGAGGGGAAACGAUAGAGAAAGCUUGCUUUUUCUAGGCGUCGACCGGCGCACGGGUGAGUAACGCGUAUCCAACCUGCCCACCACUUGGGAUAACCUUGCGAAGUAAGACUAAUACCCAAUGACGUCUCUAGAAGACAUCUGAAAGAGAUUAAAGAUUUAUCGGUGAUGGAUGGGGAUGCGUCUGAUUAGCUUGUUGGCGGGUAACGGCCCACCAAGGCGACGAUCAGUAGGGGUUCUGAGAGGAAGGUCCCCCACAUUGGAACUGAGACACGGUCCAAACUCCUACGGGAGGCAGCAGUGAGGAAUAUUGGUCAAUGGACGAGAGUCUGAACCAGCCAAGUAGCGUGCAGGAUGACGGCCCUAUGGGUUGUAAACUGCUUUUAUAAGGGAAUAAAGUGAGUCUCGUGAGACUUUUUGCAUGUACCUUAUGAAUAAGGACCGGCUAAUUCCGUG
This 503-nucleotide ribosomal RNA is filed under the name uncultured bacterium. Its description in RNAcentral is "bacterial SSU rRNA". It matches the Rfam family "Bacterial small subunit ribosomal RNA", at positions 15 to 507 of the family's 1533-position model. The record is from RNAcentral.